GUCCAUAAAUUACAUUAUUAUAUUAAUAUAUAAAAUAUAUAUAGCCGUGUCCGUGUCCUAUGAUUUUUACAUUAGCGAGGUCCUUGUAUCCGUGUCCGAGUCUGAGUUUCAUAGUUGAAAACUAAAGCCUACAGAGAAUAUUAAAAUUAGUUUUCACUAUAUGAUUAAGAAAAAUAGAAUUACAUUACAUUCAUGGUUACAUACCAAAUACAAUACAAACAGUCGUGAUUUAGCUCUAUAAUUUGAAUCCACACCAUGCAAAUAUAGAAUUCAUAAUAGUACUUCCCUCAACAACAAAAGAAAAAGAUAACUAUAAAGGUGCAUCAUUUGAAAAGGAAAAUACCCCAUUAAAAAGUAUUUUUACAACACCAAUGUCACCAAAUUGCAAUAAUCAUCAAACAUAAGUAAAUAAAUCACGAUUAAAGAUAGAAGUGAACAAAACCUCGAGAGCAGCAUUUUUGCGUUUUUCGUAGAGUUUGUCAGCGAGGUUAUGGAGCACGGUCGUCGGCAUCACGAUCCCUGGAAUUGAUCCCAUUCCUAUUAAAAAUGAUCCUAUGUAGACCUAGUAUCAUAGAAAAUGUAAAUUUUACUUGGAAAAUGAGUUCAUAUUUCAGAGAAUGAGAUUCUUGAAAUGAUAAAAGCAUCAACAGAGUUAAGUCAGUUUGAGUACAUUCACGUAAUUAUUUUACAUUUUGAUCCUAAUAAGAUUGCAAAACCAAAUUGUGGAGUUAAGAAAACAUUAUUUUUUGUAUCGGGUUUCGAGAUAAGUCAAUUUGUCUUGCCAACAUAAUUUUUUAUGAAUCUUUAGGAUAAAUAAUACCAAAGGAAAUUCGAAAAUAAAUUAUAAGAAUAAAUUAUUGAAAAGUAAUUACGAACAAAAAAAUUGUUUGUGACUUACCACCACAUAAACCACCGUAAAUAAAAAUUAGGUCCCCAACAAUAGUAGUUGCAUGCCUGCAAUGCCUAACCAACUCAACAAAGGCAUCUCCAAACAGUAAUUGUUAUUUCGGUACAGUAAGAGGGAUCUGUCAAUAUUUAUCAACCAAUUAAAAGUUGAAACCCUCAUAUCUUGUUGUCAAUUUAGAAUAAUUCUUCAUAAAUUGUGUUCAAAAGAUGAAUAAUAUUGUUAGUAAUGGUGAAGCUUAGAGUUCUUGAGUUACACAAUCAGAGGAAACCAUUUUAAAAAUAAAAUCAAACAUAUUUUAAAGUUGGAUUGUCUCUAAAAAUCAAAAUCAAGUGGCAUGGAAAAGAAAAUAACUAAAAGAACAAAGCCAUACCAUCAUCGUUAACAUUGAUUUUUCCUAAAUCACCCGCAUAUCUAUGUAUACCAGUUCCUAUCUUCUUCUUAGUCCAUGAAAAUAUAACUUCUCUCCAUAACAAUGAAAGAAAAAUAAAAUUAGAUCCAAUAAAAUUGAAAGAAAGUGUGAAUAUAAAAUAAAAUAGAAGUUGUUAGCUUCAUUGUCUUUUGCACGGUAAGACACUAUGUGUGCCUAUCAUCAAUUCAAGCACGACUUGUGAAAGUAAAACAUGAAGAAGUUUAAGAUUUUGUUCAUACAUUGUGAUAAUGUUGAUUUUUAUGGCCACAAUAUGAAUAAGAUACAUCAAAAGAAAUCAAAGAUGUGCAGAAAGUUUGAAGUUUUACCACAGAUCUACCACCGUGAAACCGCACACCACAUUAAAACGCUCAAGCCACCACUCAUGUUUUAACUCAGAAAUCGACUACCACCGUGCAUAACAGAUCCCCCCUCUUUUCCCGGCGAUAGAAUGAACAACUACAAUCAGAAACUGUCGGAAACAAUCUCGCCGCUGCAGAAAAUGGAUUUACGUUUUUAUAUAGGUUUAUUCCUUCAUAUCAUUCAACCAAACCCAUAAAAUUUGCUCAUAAUCCUAACCAGCCUUUUGUAUUCAUCUUCGAUCCAAAGAGAAAAAGUAAGAGAAACGGAAGAAAAUGUACAAUAUGAGGCAAUAGAAAGGCAGAGUGACGUGAUAUUCUUUUAUUGAAAACUGCAUAAUUUUGAAAUUUGUAUCAUUUAAGAAGAAAAUCUGCAAUUGUGUACAGAAAAAAUAAGUACAAUUGGUUAUCUAAUAUGUUUGUCGCAACUGAAAAAAUAUAAAUUCACCACCGUAUUUUAUUUCUUCAUAAGAAACAAGGAAAUAAUGAUAAAACCUAUAGUUAAAUGAAUUGGCGCAUGCACCACAUGUAAUAUGCAUGCGUCAAGAUUGACGCCUCUUCACGAGACUUCCAAUGCAUGCGCCAGAGACAUUGACGCCUCUUCAUGAUGCGAAAUGGAUGCGCCAGUUCAUCUGACGCAUCUGUUUUAAAAGGUGAUUAUUUUGGGGGAAAAUUAAAAAAAUAGUUAUUUUGGAUUUUUUUUUAAAAAUUGUGAUUAUUUAAAAAAAAUCUGAUUUUCUUAAUAAAUUCACUAUGAAGUUUUUAUUUAUUUAUACAUACUCAAAAUGAAAUGGAAUAUUUGUUAGUAAAUCAAGUUCAAUAUAAUAGGCAAAAACGUGUCACAAGUCACAAUUGUUGCUGUUACGUGGCAACAAGUUCAAGAACUAAAAUAGUAGAACACUUUACCAAAGCAACACUUAGAGGGAAAAAAGUUUGUGUUCCUACGCUGGAAAUUUUGAAUGCAUUAUGGUUUUGAUAAAUGGAGCAUCAAUCUCUGGUGUUACUCGGAAACCGAACAAGUUGUGUUUUGGAAAGGGAAAGGAUUCUAGCUCACUCGUUUUUACUGUUUCCGUUUCCAUUUGCAAAGCUUUAUAUACCGCAUCAACACCAGCUAGAAGCUUCCAUGGAUGUUCUCUCUAUGAACCAAGCAAGUACACUAAGGUAAAGCCUCUUUGUCUUCUACAUGAUUCUUUUGAACGCUAUAGCCAUGGUAGAUUUUGAUCAAGAAAAUGGUGAGGUCCCUAAAGACUUAAUUAAAUAAAGAAUGUAAUAUAUCGUUUAGCUCAAUACAGCUCCUCUGUUGCAAGGUGAGUUCUUAUUCAUGUGCUAUUUUUGCGUUAGAUUACUUCGAUUAUGUUAUUUUCAUGUCAAUGUUUGCACAAAUGUUAGAUUAAGCUUCGGUCAGGAUUUAUAUAGUCAUGAGCUUAUCUUGGACUCGUGCUUCAGAUGUAGAAAAAGUAGGGGUCAAGCUGGGAGUUGAAGAUUGUCAUUUUGUGGCUGGAUUAGAACUUUGGUGUUUGAUGACUGGGCUAUUUUUCUACUAUUUGCUUAUCUUAAUUGUUGCCAAAACUUCCAAGUCCCAUAUUGCUAGUGAGAGGAAUUAGAUGAGCUUGAAGUUUAUAAAAAGAAAGCUUAGUCUACAUUAAAAUCUAUCUUUGCGCUUGGGGCAAUGACGCAGCUAGUGAGGUUCUAACCGAGGCGCGUCUAUUGCUGGUUGAAAACUAUUUCCAAACCCCUCUUAGGCUUGAGGCAACUCAAGCCUUUGAGAAUUUUUGGAAGGACUCCCUUAGGGGUAAAGUCCUACAAAUUUUAGUUUAAUAUAUUUGUAAUUUUUAAAGAUAAGCUUUUUAAGUUUUUUUUCAAUUUACUCAAACUGUGUUUUUUGUUUAAAGGUAACCAGUUAUAGUAUUGCAACUUACAUUGAAGUAGCAAAAUAGCCCAGCCAUAAAAUGACAUUCUUCGUUUCCCACAAACCUCUUAAUUUUCUCCUCCACUACUUUUUCCAUAUUAAAAACUUUAACUUGAAAUAAAAUAAAAACUGAUAUGAAUGUUAACAUUGAUCUACUUUUUCCAUAUUAAAAACUUUAACUUGAAACAAAAUAAAAACUGAUAUGAAUGUUAACAUUGAUCUACUUUUUCAAGAUUAAAAACUUUAACUUGAAACAAAAUAAAAGCUGAUAUGAAUGGUAAGAUUUGAUCUUAGUUGAUUUCAUAACAAGAGCAAAGUCAUGCAAUCCUAAUGGAGGUUGCAAAUGUAAGUUGGUGUAUGAAUUGUUGAUCCACUGUGUUGAUAUAGACUGUGUACAUACAAUUCCAGCACUAAAUCUUGGGAACAAAUACGUCUUAGUUUAGAUUUAAAUGACGAUUAUCUUUCACAAAACAUAUCAUGUUAACCCUAGCCCCACAUCGGAAUUGUUAGACUGAAUAGUAUGGAACAUGAGGUAUAAAGAACAAGUGUGUGACUCGUUGUAACAUACUUACCUGGAUGGGGUCAAUGGAUGAUCAUGAAGGUCCAUGGCCUAGGCAAGUGACCUCCAUUGCACUUAGGAGGGGUGUUAGCCUAAGGUCUACCCAAGUGGUGGAACCUACAUCAUAAUUUGUUGCUGUGGGGGCCUGCGUUCGCGCGGCCCCCUC
Lathyrus oleraceus (garden pea) is the source of this 4306-nucleotide RNA transcript. RefSeq lists it as uncharacterized. The transcript has 2 exons. The record is from RefSeq and is a predicted model, not a curated record. NCBI's taxonomy places the organism in Eukaryota, Viridiplantae, Streptophyta, Magnoliopsida, Fabales, Fabaceae.